UAUGCGAUUCAUACCAAUACGAUUUGAUCCUGAUAACUAUCACACGAUCUAAAAAAUUUACAUCAGUACAUGACAUCUUCUCUACGUUAAAAGCCACAUUAGUCAAAGGUGUGUUUCGAUGAAUCUGAAACGAAGUAUAUUUAACUGAGCAUAUCUUAAGCCGUUCAACAAUGGGUACUGCUUAGUUUCUGUUGAAAACAAGUUGUGAUUCUUAAUCUUCGCAAACAAAUACUCCGCGGCGGACGAAACCUCUUCUUAUGAGACACCUAUGGUACAGUCUUGCACAGCUCCUUCUCUUUCCCCUGCUGAGUCGCAAACUCGAUAGCUUCUUCUGUCGAUUCAUCGUGCGAGGCUCUUGCCGACCCUGCGUACAGCACAGGGAUCAAACCGCGGAAGAUAAGACUAUGCCUCGCAGGUGAUUCGUCGCUGCAAGACCAGUCGAGCAAGUCGGUUUCGAUCUAAAAUAGCAGACGGAGAAGACGAAGAGAAAGGGAUCGAGAUUCGAUUUUGGGAAAAUUAGAAUUUGUCAUGCGUAUCUGACGUGGCGGAGAGCUGUUCUCUGAUUGGAUGAUUUAAUUAUCCUACGUGGACACACUCUCUGAUGCUCAUAUAACCCUUUUAGUAUAGGUUAGAUUAUUCUAAAGAUGUCUAUGCGAUUCAUACCAAUACGAUUUGAUCCUGAUAACUAUCACACGAUCUAAAAAAUUUACAUCAGUACAUGACAUCUUCUCUACGUUAAAAGCCACAUUAGUCAAAGGUGUGUUUCGAUGAAUCUGAAACGAAGUAUAUUUAACUGAGCAUAUCUUAAGCCGUUCAACAAUGGGUACUGCUUAGUUUCUGUUGAAAACAAGUUGUGAUUCUUAAUCUUCGCAAACAAAUACUCCGCGGCGGACGAAACCUCUUCUUAUGAGACACCUAUGGUUGCAAUGAACGAGGUAGUGAUCACACUUUGCUUCACUUACUACUUUGUGUUGAGAAGUGAUUCAUUGAGUAAAACCUGCAAAUGAAAGAAUGGAAGUCAGUGAGAAGAAGAAAAACUAAAAGGCAAGAAGAAGAAGAAGUUUCAAAUCAAUCCAAAGUCAAAGCUGAAGAUGAUGAACGUGAACCAGAUCAUAACAAGUCGUUAGUAAGAGUUAUUGUUUGUUAAGGAGUUGUUGGAAUAGUUAAGUUGUGGGUGUAAAGAUUGGUCUAGAGACUAGAGGUAUGGAUUAGGUGUAAGUAAGCAAGAAAACAUGAUUAGAGUGAAUAAGAAGCCUACUAUAAAGAUGGGGGUUAUUGGAAGAUAAAAUUGUGUAGAGUUUGUGAACUUUAAAAGUUACUUGGAUAAGAAAAUAUAUAUACACUAACUUACAAAAUUUGAUCAAACUUUUGUAAAUUGCUACUUCAUGAAUAUUUUUUCGAAU
RNAcentral lists this long non-coding RNA (1403 nucleotides) under Brassica napus (rape). RNAcentral's name for it is "long non-coding RNA (BNAP_LNC005435)". The record is from RNAcentral. Lineage: Eukaryota; Viridiplantae; Streptophyta; Magnoliopsida; Brassicales; Brassicaceae.